RNAcentral lists this ribosomal RNA (385 nucleotides) under uncultured bacterium. Its description in RNAcentral is "bacterial SSU rRNA". It matches the Rfam family "Bacterial small subunit ribosomal RNA", at positions 30 to 415 of the family's 1533-position model. The record is from RNAcentral.
AUUGAACGCUGGCGGCAUGCCUUACACAUGCAAGUCGAACGGCAGCACGGGAGCAAUCCUGGUGGCGAGUGGCGAACGGGUGAGUAAUGCAUCGGAACGUGCCAUUGAGUGGGGGAUAACGUAGCGAAAGUUACGCUAAUACCGCAUAUUCUGUGCGCAGGAAAGCAGGGGAUCGCAAGACCUUGCGCUCUUUGAGCGGCCGAUGUCAGAUUAGCUAGUUGGUGAGGUAAAGGCUCACCAAGGCGACGAUCUGUAGCGGGUCUGAGAGGAUGAUCCGCCACACUGGGACUGAGACACGGCCCAGACUCCUACGGGAGGCAGCAGUGGGGAAUUUUGGACAAUGGGCGAAAGCCUGAUCCAGCCAUGCCGCGUGCGGGAAGAAGGC